RNAcentral lists this long non-coding RNA (1266 nucleotides) under Medicago truncatula (barrel medic). RNAcentral's name for it is "lncRNA gene2649". The record is from RNAcentral. Lineage: Eukaryota; Viridiplantae; Streptophyta; Magnoliopsida; Fabales; Fabaceae.
GGUAGGUAGCUAGCUAGCUACUGCGGCAAACUGUGUGAAUUUGCUACAACAGUAAAUCCAGAUCCCUAGGCUUAGAAGUCAUGAGAGUGAUGAUACAUUGAUGGGUCACAUCCAUGACCACCUUGACGAUUCAUGGCUUCUCUAUGACUAUUGUUGUGUCGAUUAUCAUCAUCACCACCCAUUUGAGUAGCACCAAGGUUGAGGUACACCAAUCUUGAAUCCAAAUUCAGGUUACCAAUGCUGUUGUUAUUAUUAUUGUUGUUGCCACUGCUACUGCUGCUAUGAUCUUCGCUCAUUGGAGGGUAAACCGGUGCUGCUGAUGAAGAAGCAUUGUUGUUGUUGUUAUUAUUGUUACUAGCAUUGUUUUCUUCACGUGACAGAACAAGAGCUGCAGAUUGAACAAGUUCCAAACACAAUCUUAACUUGUUUGGUUCAAUGUGGUUUAAUCCAGGAACAGCACCUUUGAAGAGAAAAUCAGAGGUUAGGGUUCUAAGUAUAUCCAAAGGUGUGACACCGUCAACGGUUCUAACUGUGGGAUCUGCAUGGUGGUCAAGCAAAACUGCCACCAUCUCCGGCGACACCAUCUCGGCAGCCACAUGAAGGGAAGUUUUCCCGGCAGGUCCAGCCGGGUAGUUAACAUCCGCAGCCCCGAGUUCAAGCAGGGCUUUCACCACUUCUCGGCUACAAUUCUCAACUGCAUAGUGUAAUGCCAAUGCUUCAUCAAGGUUUAGGCCUUCUCCCAUGACCAUGAGUUUGACUAGUUCCACAUCGGAGGAGUCAAGGGCCCGUCUCAUUCUUCGGAUCUUCUGGUCUUCGAGGUCACCGAAGUCAUGGUGAUGAUGGUGAUGGUGGUGGUGGUGAAGUGGCAUUAAGGAGCGCCGUGCUAAGGAGGAUUUUAGACGAAGUUCUUCGAUUUUGGCGACUACGUCAAUGGAGAGAUGCUUGGCUAGGAUUUCAGGUGGGAGACCAGACUUGGCAACAAGGUGGGAACAUGUUGUCCAAAGUUGGGGCAUUUCUUGCUUUCUUGAAGCUAUUAGUACUUUCAUCACAUCGUCUAUUGAGGCUUUCUCUACCAUGCUCACUAGUUGCUUCUACAAAUCAAUCAAGCAAUGAGAGUUAGAUAAAAAAUUAACAAAUAAUUUAAUAUUGGUAGAUCAAGUCGUAAAUCUAACUUUGUAUUUUCUAAUUGGAGUUAUCUUUUGUAGUAUGUUUUAAGUAUAAAGAUUUUAUGUUGUAAGGGUUCCUUAAAUACACUUUUCUUAUGGC